GGCCGCUGCGAUGACCUCAUGGCUCCAGGCUCCCCCUCAGCAGGGAGGAUUAGUAGGUGCGCUGACGUCACAAUGCUUUCCUCCCGGGAACGUUCCACGACGGAAUCCUGAAACAAUUGGAUUUUCUAAGAUUUUGAAGAGCCAAUCAAGUACCAUCAUUCAAGCACAACAAGCUACUUUCAUAUGAACAAAAUCUAAUCUGUGGAAUAAAGUGUGUCCCCUCAGAAAUGCACUUUGCUCCUUUUGUGCAAGAGGGGCAAAGUGCCACUGCAGCCCCACUGUGAGAAGUGAUAAAGUGACCCUUGAUACCAAAGUCGUGGUGUGACUCAGGAAACUUGAGCGUGAUUCCUUGGCAUCUUUCCCCAUAAAAUUUAGAUGAAUGUGAGUUGAGCAAGAUCCCAGCCACGCUUAUGCUCAGCUGCCUUCAUUUCAAUUCAGCAGGGCUCAUGCAGGAGAAAGUUCCUGAUGGGUUAGGCCUAAUGCAAGCAGAUCCUCCUGAUCAGAAGAAAUUAUGCUCUGGCCAAGCCACCCGGGAACACCUUCCCUUCCCUUCCUGUGAUGGAUAACAUUCCUUGCGAGUCUGUCCAUGUUGCUGCUCAGCUAUUUGGCAGUUACCACACAACUAACUGCAAUAAGCCUUCUGCGGUUGCUGUGCAGCAGCAGGCAUGAAUGCUGUUCCGUAGCAGCAGAAAACAAGACCACUUGUUGAAGAGGAGCACAAGUUCCAUUUCCUGAUGUGCCCUAAGCUAUAGCUGGAAUGCUGUCUAAACACUGUUCCUAAGAUACCAUCAAAUGGACUUUAUCAGUGUAGUUUAAGCUCUCGCCUCUCGGAAAUCUGUUCCUGUGUUUGCUUCCCUCCUUGGAUUCCACAUAGAGAAGAACUGACAACAUCACCACAAGACUGAUGGUUAACUUACACCAAUGUGUACGUAACGUGUGUAACUGGAUGUAAACCGAUUUGCAACACAAUCCUCAGUAUUUGACUAAGAAGUAAGCCUUACUGAGUUCUGUGAAAUUUACUCUCUGUUAAGGCUGCUUAGAUUAGAUUAGAAUUGCAACCUUAGAUAAAGCUCAGAAGGGCUUUACCACUACAGAAAUAAAUGUCCUGAAUCAGCAUUCAAGGUAUUUCACAUCUCUGCAUUAUGCAUAGUUUUAUUGCUUGUGUCAGGAAGCUGGAAGGGUCACAGAAUUCCACUAAAACUGUAUAUUUAACUGGACAUAUAUUUCACAGGCUGACAUUCAAUGAACUUACUCCAAAGGAUGACUUAAUUUUAAUAGGACUACUCAGAAGUAAUUUAGUCUGGAUGUCAGCCACUGUUUUUAAGAAUUAGCCCACUUGAACAAUAAACCUUCCUUAUAC
Molecule: long non-coding RNA, 1360 nt
Organism: Hemicordylus capensis (graceful crag lizard)
Lineage: Eukaryota; Metazoa; Chordata; Lepidosauria; Squamata; Cordylidae
Exons: 3
Source: RefSeq, a predicted model, not a curated record